GACCCGUAAUCCGGGUUGCGGACAGUGUCUGGUGGGUAGUUUGACUGGGGCGGUCUCCUCCUAAAGAGUAACGGAGGAGCACGAAGGUUGGCUAAUCCUGGUCGGACAUCAGGAGGUUAGUGCAAUGGCAUAAGCCAGCUUGACUGCGAGCGUGACGGCGCGAGCAGGUGCGAAAGCAGGUCAUAGUGAUCCGGUGGUUCUGAAUGGAAGGGCCAUCGCUCAACGGAUAAAAGGUACUCCGGGGAUAACAGGCUGAUACCGCCCAAGAGUUCAUAUCGACGGCGGUGUUUGGCACCUCGAUGUCGGCUCAUCACAUCCUGGGGCUGAAGUAGGUCCCAAGGGUAUGGCUGUUCGCCAUUUAAAGUGGUACGCGAGCUGGGUUUAGAACGUCGUGAGACAGUUCGGUCCCUAUCUGCCGUGGGCGCUGGAGAACUGAGGGGGGCUGCUCCUAGUACGAGAGGACCGGAGUGGACGCAUCACUGGUGUUCGGGUUGUCAUGCCAAUGGCACUGCCCGGUAGCUAAAUGCGGAAGAGAUAAGUGCUGAAAGCAUCUAAGCACGAAACUUGCCCCGAGAUGAGUUCUCCCUGAC
RNAcentral lists this ribosomal RNA (590 nucleotides) under Escherichia coli. RNAcentral's name for it is "partial 23S ribosomal RNA". It matches the Rfam family "Bacterial large subunit ribosomal RNA", at positions 2230 to 2819 of the family's 2925-position model. Lineage: Bacteria; Pseudomonadati; Pseudomonadota; Gammaproteobacteria; Enterobacterales; Enterobacteriaceae. The record is from RNAcentral.